GACAGAGGGUGCGAACGUUGUUCGGAAUUACUGGGCUUGAAGCGCACGUAGGCGGCGUUGUAAGUGUCGGGUGAAAUCCCACGGCUCACCCGUGGAACUGCCCGGCAUACUGCGAUGCUAGAGUGUGGUAGGGGAGAGCGGAACUCCUGGUGGAGCGGUGAAAUGCGUAGAUAUCAGGAGGAACACCGGUGGCGAAGGCGGCUCUCUGGUCCACAACUGACGCUGAGGUGCGAAAGCUAGGGGAGCAAACGGG
RNAcentral lists this ribosomal RNA (253 nucleotides) under uncultured bacterium. Its description in RNAcentral is "partial 16S ribosomal RNA". It matches the Rfam family "Bacterial small subunit ribosomal RNA", at positions 524 to 776 of the family's 1533-position model. The record is from RNAcentral.